Molecule: non-coding RNA, 1480 nt
Organism: Eucalyptus grandis
Lineage: Eukaryota; Viridiplantae; Streptophyta; Magnoliopsida; Myrtales; Myrtaceae
Source: Rfam
CUCAUGUAGAGUUUGAUCCUAACUCAGGAUGAAUGCUAACAGCAUGCUUAACAAACAGGAAGUGGUGUUUCCAGUGGCGGACGAGUGAGUAACGCAUAAGAACUUGCCCUUGGGAGAGGAAUAACAGUUGGAAACGACUGCUAAUACUCCAUAGGCUGAGGAGUAAAAGGAGGAAUCCUCCCAAGGAGGGGUUCGCAUCUGAUUAAUUAGUUGGUGAGGCAACAGCUUAACAAGCCAAUAAUCAGUAGCUAGUCUGAAAGGAUGAUUGGUCACACUGGGGCUGAGACACAGCCCAGACUCCUACGGGAGGCAGUAAUGGGGAAUUUUCCGCAAUGGGCAAAAAGUUUGACAGAGCAAUGCCAUAUGGAGGUAGAAGGGCCAUGGAUCGUGAACUUCUUUUCCCAAAGAAGAAGCAAUGAUGGUAUCUGGGAAAUAAGCAUCGGCUAACUCUAUGCCAGCAACCAUGGUAAUACAGAGGAUGCAAGUGUUAUUUGGAAUGAUUGAGCGUAAAACGUCUGUAGAUGGCUUUUUGAGGCUGCCGUCAAAUCCCAGGGCUCAACCCUGGACAAGUAGUAGAAACUACCAAGCUAAAGUAUAGUAAGGGUAGAGGGAAUUUUCGGUGGAGCGGUGAAAUGCAUGGAGACUGGAAAGAACACCAACGGUGAAAGCACUAUGCUAGGUCGACAUUGACACUAAGAGUUGAAAGCUAGGGGAGCGAAUGGGAUUAGAUACUCCAAUAGUCCUAGCUGUAAACAAUGGAUACUAGACACUAUGCGUAUCAACCCAUGUAGUGUUGUAGUUAACGCAUUACGUAUCUCGCUUGGGGAGUAGGUUCGCAAGAAUGAAACUCAAAGGAAUUGACCAGGGCCUGCACAAGUGGUGGAGCAUGUGAUUUAAUUCAACGAAAAGCGAAGAACCUUACCAAGGCUUGAUAUGCCGCAAAUCCUCUUGAAAGAGAGAGGUGCCUUCAAGAACGCAGACACAGGUAGUGCAUGGCUAUCAUCAGCUUAUGUCGUAAGGUGUUGGGUUAAGUCUCGCAAUGAGCACCACCCUCGUGUUUAGUUGCCACCCUUGAGUCUAGAACCCCGAAUAGACUGCCGGUGAUAAGCCAGAGGAAGGUGAGGAUGGCGUUAAGUCAUCAUGGCCCAUAUGCCCUAGGCAACACACGUGUUACAAUGGCCGGGACAAAGGAUCGCGAUCCUGCGAGGGUGAGCUAACUCCAAAACCUCAUACUCAGUUUGGAUUGCAGGCUGCAACUCGCCUGCAUAAAGCCAAAAUUGCUAGUAAUCACCGAUCUGCCAUACGGCGGUGAAUUCGUUCUCGGGCCUUGUACACACUGCCCGUCACACUAUGGGAGCUGGCCAUGCCUGAAGUCAUUACCUUAACCGCAAGGAGGGGGAUGCCAAAGGCAGGGCUAGUGACUAAAGUGAAGUGAUAACAAGGUAGCCAUAUUGGAAGGUGAGGUUGGAUCACCUCCUUU